RNAcentral lists this ribosomal RNA (253 nucleotides) under uncultured bacterium. RNAcentral describes it as "partial 16S ribosomal RNA". It matches the Rfam family "Bacterial small subunit ribosomal RNA", at positions 524 to 776 of the family's 1533-position model. The record is from RNAcentral.
CACGUAGGGCGCAAGCGUUGUCCGGAAUCAUUGGGCGUAAAGCGCGCGUAGGCGGCCCGGUCAGUCCGUUGUGAAAGUCAAAGGCUCAACCUUUGAACGCCGAUGGAUACUGCCGGGCUAGAGUCCGGAAGAGGCGAGUGGAAUUCCUGGUGUAGCGGUGGAAUGCGCAGAUGUCAGGAGGAACACCAAUAGCGAAGGCAGCUCGCUGGGACGGUACUGACGCUGAGGCGCGAAAGCGUGGGGAGCGAACAGG